This 72-nucleotide transfer RNA is filed under the name Camelus bactrianus (Bactrian camel). It matches the Rfam family "tRNA". Rfam says of the family: Transfer RNA (tRNA) molecules are approximately 80 nucleotides in length. RNAcentral also lists the same sequence under 2 other names. The record is from Rfam by way of RNAcentral. Lineage: Eukaryota; Metazoa; Chordata; Mammalia; Artiodactyla; Camelidae.
GGGGGGAUAGCUUAGUGGUAGAACAUGAGCUUUCUGUGCACAACGUCCUGGGUUCAAUCCCCAAUGCCUCCU